This 396-nucleotide ribosomal RNA is filed under the name uncultured bacterium. Its description in RNAcentral is "bacterial SSU rRNA". It matches the Rfam family "Bacterial small subunit ribosomal RNA", at positions 29 to 426 of the family's 1533-position model. The record is from RNAcentral.
AAUGAACGUUGGCAGCGUGGAUUAGGCAUGCAAGUCGAGCGACAAGGUCCUUCGGGACUGGAGGAGCGGCAAACGGGGUAGGUAAUACAUCGGAACGUACCCUCACGUCUGGGAUAGCCACGGGAAACUGUGGGUAAUACUGGAUAAUCUCACCACUUGUGAAGAGUGGUGAGCAAAGGUCCGCCGCGUGAGGAGCGGCCGAUGCGAUACUAGAUAGUUGGUGGGGUAAUGGCCUACCAAGUCUAAGAUGUCUAGGGGGUGGUGAGAGCAUGGCCCCCACCACUGGGACUGAGACACUGCCCAGACACCUACGGGUGGCUGCAGUCGAGAAUCUUUGGCAAUGGGCGCAAGCCUGACCAAGCGACGCUGCGUGCGGGAUGAAGGCCCUUGGGUUGU